This is a non-coding RNA of Aedes albopictus (Asian tiger mosquito), 76 nucleotides long. NCBI's taxonomy places the organism in Eukaryota, Metazoa, Arthropoda, Insecta, Diptera, Culicidae. The record is from Rfam.
GGCUCCGUGGCUUGCAGGAAUAAGAAGCACCCGUCUAGCGAAUUGGGAUUCGUGGGUUCGAUUCCCACCGGAGCGC